RNAcentral lists this non-coding RNA (45 nucleotides) under Trichobilharzia regenti. Lineage: Eukaryota; Metazoa; Platyhelminthes; Trematoda; Strigeidida; Schistosomatidae. The record is from RNAcentral.
GUCCAGUUGACGUGUCCAAAAUAGGACGAAAUGCGCAUCCUUGAU